This is a non-coding RNA of Tetranychus urticae (two-spotted spider mite), 1122 nucleotides long. The record is from RefSeq and is a predicted model, not a curated record. Lineage: Eukaryota; Metazoa; Arthropoda; Arachnida; Trombidiformes; Tetranychidae.
AUUUGAUUAACAAAUUAAAGCACUUGACUGCGUCUUUUUCAUUUUCGAAAUUCCUUUAUAAUUGUUAUUCAAGGAUGUAGAUUAGCUUAUAUUAGAAUGUUGCUUCAAAAAAGGUACGCUAUUCGAUUGGUUACAAUACAAUAAUUUUUAACUCCUAGGCUGGAUUCUCAAUCAAUAUACUGGAUUACAACGGAUAAGUACAAUCUUGGCUCUGAAGUUAAUGGUUAUUACAGCAAGCUUUGAUAUCAGUGUAGACUCUACCAUAAGUAUAAUGAAUAAAAUGAAUCUUAGUCAUCUUACCCAAAUAAUAAAAAGGGAAUGAAAAUUCGGACAUUUGUUAAGCUUGACAGCUCAGAGAUACCGACUCUUGGGAUGGCGAUAUUAUUACUUGGAUCAGGCAACAAGGGACAAAAAGGACCAAAGGAACAGAAGUAAACAAAGCUACAAAAUAUUCUACUUGUUUGCGAUUCUUAUGAUUUUACUUCAUGCUACUGUGCUUUCAACAAUCAAAUGGUUGAUCCAAAUAGGCCUAACAAAAUGAGUCUGGUUGCUGGUUUUUCAAUGGGGGAGACAAAGUAAACAGUACCAUCACAAUCAGCAAAAACGUAGUUGAAGACAAAGGAACCCAAAAAUGGAUUGGUUUAAAGGCAAACCAUGAUGAUGACCAAAGCUGAAAUAACUGUUGGGAAAAACUGGAAUAACCAGAGUUUUUAACCUUAAGAGAGGUUAAAUCCCAAAACUCAAUUCAAGUUAUUCCUUUGUUUUAUGUGUUAAACAAUGUUAUUCUUCUCGUUCGGAUGAGAGUGGUUGUGAUGAUAGGAUUAUCAUCCAUUCCUCAUCAGAACCACUCUGAUCCUCAUCCUCAUCUUUCCCUUCCUCUUCGCUUUUUCUUCACCUUUUGUUUCCCUCAACUCACGCAGUUAAAUGGUUCAAGUCAAACUAAUUUAUUCAACAUGAGCAAAAGGCAAUUCCUAUGCACAUGCCUUUCCAAAAAUAUAUGGCAUUUUUUUCACCUCGAUCGAUAGGAUUGUGAAAGUUUUUGUGCCUGAUAUAUCUUGGAAUCCUCCAGACUCCAUCAACAUCAACCUUAUCCUGUUAUAUUUUCCUUUUCAAUCUUCUAAC